Molecule: non-coding RNA, 119 nt
Organism: Anolis sagrei ordinatus
Lineage: Eukaryota; Metazoa; Chordata; Lepidosauria; Squamata; Anolidae
Source: RefSeq, a predicted model, not a curated record
GCCUACGGCCAUGCCACCCUGAACAUGCCCAAUCCCAUCUGAUCUCGGAAGCUAAGCAGGGUCGAGCCUGGUUAGUACUUGGAUGGGAGAUCACCUGGGAAUACCAGGUGCUGUAGGCU